Equus caballus (horse) is the source of this 1703-nucleotide long non-coding RNA. Lineage: Eukaryota; Metazoa; Chordata; Mammalia; Perissodactyla; Equidae. The record is from Ensembl.
AUGGGAUAAAUGCUAAGUCCAGGUGAUCCUCAGAUCAUCCUGUGGCGUGGAUGAAAUUGAUGAAUGAAUAGAAGAUGCACAAUCCAAGCUGUGGCCAAGAAGUCCAAGAUCAUACGCAUGUGAGAUUGGGGAUAAUCACCCACCUAUGAAGACAGCAGUAGGAUGCUCAUUAAGACUCAGUCGACAACACUUUUAGCGCUCAUAGGUCUGCGCUACACUGAAAAUGCUAAGUUAUGUUUGCACCAGGACAAUAAAAUCCUACUCAGCAAUAAAGGAGAAGAAGCUAUUGACAAACAUGACAACGUGGGCAAAUCUCAAAGGCAGGAUGCUGGGGGAAAGAGGACAGGCUCGAAAGGUUAAAUACUGCCUGGGUCCAUUUACGUGACUUUCUGGAAAAGGCAAGACUGGAGCGGGAGCAGGUGAGUGGUUGUAGGGGGCAGGAAGGGGAGAGUGUGCUGCAGAGACAGCACGGGUGAUGGCACUGCUCUGCGUCCUGAUUGUGGCGGGGGCUACAGGAAUCUGGACGUGCAUGAAAACUCAUAAAAUUGCACACCAAAAAAACCUUAAUUUUACUAUAUGUUAAUUUAAAAAAACAAACAAAAAAGUCGUUCCUGAAGAAUAUGAUGAGCUUUCAAUACUUGAAUAUCUUCUUCUAACAACAGUAAAGCAUUUAGAGAGAUAUUUUAAAAAUGCCCCAGGCCACGGGGCCCUGACCACUCCUGGCGUGGCGAUUGGAGUGCUCCAGGGCGAGGAGAAAGUGGAGAUUCUGGAACUGCAUGAAGAGCACUAGCUUCCUUGCCUCAAUUCCUCUUUCACUUUCCACAAAAAGACAAGGGAACUGCAGGCUGUGGUUGACAUACAUGAAAGGGCCAUUCACAGGAAAAGGAUUGCUCAUUCGCUCAUGCAAUGGUGAUAGUGAACCACAGGCUCAUCGCAUCAGAGGAGAGUGCUUGACUUCUCCAAGGAUGAGAUGCAUGGUGACAGUGAGGACCAGAAGGUGCCAUCCGCCUGAUGCUUGUGCUGAGAGAGCUGCUCGGAGCGCAACAUCACAAUCAAACAUGAUCUUCCUCUUUGCCCCGUCAGCCAACCUUUUCAGCAGCGCAACUUCAGACGGACAACGGGAGAGUCUCUAAGCUUUUUCGGUGGUAGCCUGCUGCACCAAACAUCCUCAGGAGCUGUUGAUUCUUUCCCCCUUGGCUGACUGUAAGCUGUGAAACGAGGCAAAAAUGAAGCCCCUCCGUGUCUGCAGCAUGAAGGAAGGUGGGGGGCAAAGAAUCACUUGCUCUGGGAGAGCUGACGCCAUGUCAGGAGGACACUCAAGCAGGCCUGUGGAGAAGGACGUGUGGAGAGGAACGAGGCCUCCUCACAACAGCCAGCAUCACGUUUCCAUCUGGAUGAGUGAGCCGUCCUGGAAACGGAUCCUCCAGCCCCAGUGACGCCUUCCCAUGACCGCAGCCCUGGCCGACAUCUUGACUGCAGCCUCAUGAGAGACCUUGAGCCAGAAAUACCCAGUUAAACGGCUCCUGGAUUCCUGACCCACAGAAACUCUGUGACAGGAUCGAGGGACAUGGUGACCGACCCAAUCGAGCUGUGAUGGAAUCAAGAGGAGGACCUGGCGACCCUAGCGGCCAGACCACUCCUGGGCAUUGGUUUGAGGAUCACCCAGCAUCACCCUUCUUAUGUGCCUGACAGCAAAGCCCUGC